RNAcentral lists this ribosomal RNA (433 nucleotides) under uncultured bacterium. RNAcentral describes it as "partial 16S ribosomal RNA". It matches the Rfam family "Bacterial small subunit ribosomal RNA", at positions 29 to 507 of the family's 1533-position model. The record is from RNAcentral.
AACGAACGCUGGCGGCAUGCCUAACACAUGCAAGUCGAACGAGACCUUCGGGUCUAGUGGCGCACGGGUGCGUAACGCGUGGGAACCUGCCCUUAGGCUCGGAAUAACUCCCCGAAAGGGGUGCUAAUACCGGAUAAUGUCUUCGGACCAAAGAUUUAUCGCCUUUGGAUGGGCCCGCGUUGGAUUAGCUAGUUGGUAGGGUAAAAGCCUACCAAGGCGACGAUCCAUAGCUGGUCUGAGAGGAUGAUCAGCCACACUGGGACUGAGACACGGCCCAGACUCCUACGGGAGGCAGCAGUGGGGAAUAUUGGACAAUGGGCGAAAGCCUGAUCCAGCAAGGCCGCGUGAGUGAUGAAGGCCUUAGGGUUGUAAAGCUCUUUUACCCGGGAUGAUAAUGACAGUACCGGGAGAAUAAGCUCCGGCUAACUCCGUG